GUGCUUAACACAUGCAAGUCGAACGGAAAGGCCCUUCGGGGUACUCGAGUGGCGAACGGGUGAGUAACACGUGGGUGAUCUGCCCUGCACUUUGGGAUAAGCCUGGGAAACUGGGUCUAAUACCGAAUAUGACCACGCGCUUCAUGGUGUGUGGUGGAAAGCUUUUGCGGUGUGGGAUGGGCCCGCGGCCUAUCAGCUUGUUGGUGGGGUAAUGGCCUACCAAGGCGACGACGGGUAGCCGGCCUGAGAGGGUGACCGGCCACACUGGGACUGAGAUACGGCCCAGACUCCUACGGGAGGCAGCAGUGGGGAAUAUUGCACAAUGGGCGCAAGCCUGAUGCAGCGACGCCGCGUGAGGGAUGACGGCCUUCGGGUUGUAAACCUCUUUCAAUAGGGACGAAGCGCAAGUGACGGUACCUAUAGAAGAAGGACCGGCCAACUACGUGCCAGCAGCCGCGGUAAUACGUAGGGUCCGAGCGUUGUCCGGAAUUACUGGGCGUAAAGAGCUCGUAGGUGGUUUGUCGCGUUGUUCGUGAAAUC
Molecule: ribosomal RNA, 540 nt
Filed under: Mycolicibacterium fortuitum subsp. fortuitum
Lineage: Bacteria; Bacillati; Actinomycetota; Actinomycetes; Mycobacteriales; Mycobacteriaceae
Also listed under: 1 other name
Description: bacterial SSU rRNA
Rfam family: Bacterial small subunit ribosomal RNA
Source: RNAcentral